Molecule: long non-coding RNA, 2435 nt
Organism: Clupea harengus (Atlantic herring)
Lineage: Eukaryota; Metazoa; Chordata; Actinopteri; Clupeiformes; Clupeidae
Exons: 3
Source: RefSeq, a predicted model, not a curated record
CAGAACACACAUCUUCACAUGUGCAGUUAUUCUCACACUGUGAGUUGAACAAACAAUGACAUAUCUUUACAUUCUUUUUUUUCUUGUAUACUGUAAGUCUAGACAACACCUUACAGCACACCAGAGCUGCAGAGAGCUCUGCUCAAAUGACUCAAUCUCACUGUGAGUUUUUCAAGAAUUCAAACCUUCCUUAACAAACACAAUCAAUGCCCUGAGUAAAAAUCAACUUGACUUUCUCCCAAACCAGCUUACCACAUAUCAUAUUUACACCCACACACCCUAAUCAGUAAACAUGUAAAAGACACAAAAAAAUGAAAAAUAUUUGCUUGCUUUCAAUAUUCUAAAUGAUGAAUCAUUCUAUUUGCCACACAUGUUACGUGACAAACAUUUUAGAAAGUGGUGUCUGAUGUGAUUAAAUUAAUAUAUUCAAGUAUAUUCAAGUAAAAAUGGGCAACAACAGAGACGUGGAGUGAGUCCAACACUCUUCGUCAUCUACAUUCUUCGUCAUCUAAACUCUUCGUCAUCAACACUCUUCGUCAUCUACACUCUUCGUCAUCUAAACUCUUCGUCAUCAACACUCUUCGUCAUCUAAACUCUUCGUCAUCAACACUCUUCGUAAUCUACACUCUUCGUCAUCUACACUCUUCGUCAUCUACACAUUAAUGAGUUAGUGGUGCAGCUGGACCAAUCUACAGCUCCUGGACUUACCCUUCAAGACAUCAGGAAGUUUCAGCAAGGCAGUCAAUGCGCACAAAGAAAAGCAGUAGAGCACUGUAUGCUAGAAAAUCGAUUUUUUUUACUAUAUAAACAUACCAAUCACUAUCUGGUCCAAAUUAAUUGGCAGCAUAAUACAGCCUAUUGCAUUAUAUGGAUCGGCAUCAAGGCUGGGGAGACCAACAGACUUAACAAGCUGGUGAGGAAGGCUUUGUUGGACUGAAACGGGACAGUGUGGAGGCAGUGGUGGAGAGGAUGAUGGUGGUACAAAAUCCAGAUCACACAGGGCAACCUCUUCCAUCUCCUCUAUGAUGAGCUGAGGCAGAUGAGGAGCACCUUUCACCACGGCCUCAUCUCCCCCAUGUGCAAGACCAGGCCAUUCAGGCACUCCUUUGUGCCGACAGCCAUCUGGCUGCACCACCGCACCUGAGACUCUUUUUGCACCUCCCCAGGACACUCUACAACUGCAAUUAUAUACACUUUGGACACUUCAAUCUCUUUAAAUACAUGAACCUGUGAUAAUUUGUUUAUUUGCUCUUUAUCAUGGCAUUUUGCACUACAUGUAUAUUUGGACACUGCAAAUACAUGAGCCUGUUUAGUGCACACUAUCAUUCCUUGUUGUAGCUGAUUUGUUUUUUAUUGUACUUUUUUAUUUAUUCAUAUUUACAUAUAUUUCUUCAUCUGUCUUUCUGCUGCUGAUUAUCACACAAAGUCUUAUCUCAUCUAACAACAGAUUUCUGGUGGUUUCCUGGUGAAAGGAUUUUGCCAGGGGUCCAGUUAAUGGGAGUGUGGCCUGAUAAGAGGCUGGUGCCUUGCCUAUUUAAACAAACACAACACUUCCUCUAGCUGACACUUUUCACAAUGCAGGGACAGACAUUCUUCUGACUCAUUGGUAUGUGGCCUGUACAAGACCAGUUCUUGGGAAGUGCUCUGGGUUGCCAUUCUACUUGUAGCAAAAUUAGGCCUACAUCACGGUGUUGCUAAAUUAUUGGCCUAUUUGUUUUUGUUAGUUUGUUUUUUGAAAGAUGUGAUGUAAAUAGAAGAAGUAAAAUUACACACUUUUCCCCCAGCAUUCAUUGUCCUGUGCCAGAAUGGCCCAAGAGAUCCACAGCCUGUGUAGGCGAUACAGCACAUCUCUCCUGUGAAUUGGGUUUCAUCAAGGUGGAAUCAGCCAGCUAUGGACGGAGUGAAACAUCCACCUGCAGUGGACACCCAUCAAAUCAGAUUUCAAACACCCAAUACCACCAGUACCUGUCUCAACACAUCAUGUCUGACAGGUAGCACAACCUGAAAAUAAUGCACAUACCUGGAAUUUUAUACACACUAAUGCAGGUUAAGGGGAGAGGAGAGGAGAGGAGGUCAGUGAUGUGGAAAAUCAUAGAUACUCAAAGAAUCAUAUAGCAAGAGGUGAAAACAAAAUGUACAAUCCUAACAGGAAGAAAAUAUACGCUAAACAUAACAUUAAUGACACAAAAUAGCCACACCACAUUUUAAAGAAGGGGGCAUACAUCUAUUUGUAUAGCUUAGAGAGGAAUGGGCACUGAUCAAAUGAAUCAGUCAGACAAGCACCAGCACUCUCAGUAUCUAGCCUUGCCUGGGCUUAAACAUAUAUAUCUAUGAAUCAACACAAAUGUCAAAGUCAAAAAUCAGAUGAGUGGCAUGGGGUGACCAUUAAUGGUGUGUGUGUUUUAACAUCAUGUCAUAUUCUUCAGGUGACCCCC